UGGGGAAUCUUGCGCAAUGCGCGAAAGCGUGACGCAGCAACGCCGCGUGGGGGAAGAAGGCCUUCGGGUUGUAAACCCCUUUCAGGAGGGACGAAGCCUGGUCGGUUAAUAGCCGGUCCAGGUGACGGUACCUCCACAAGAAGCCCCGGCUAACUACGUGCCAGCAGCCGCGGUAAUACGUAGGGGGCUAGCGUUGUCCGGAAUUAUUGGGCGUAAAGAGCGUGUAGGCGGCGCGAUAAGUCCGUUGUGAAAGUCGAGGGCUCAACCCUCGAAUGCCGGCGGAUACUGUCGCGCUAGAGUCCGGAAGAGGCGAGUGGAACUCCUGGUGUAGCGGUGAAAUGCGCAGAUAUCAGGAAGAACACCGAUGGCGAAGGCAGCUCGCUGGGACGGUACUGACGCUGAGACGCGAAAGCGUGGGGAGCGAACAG
RNAcentral lists this ribosomal RNA (428 nucleotides) under uncultured bacterium. Its description in RNAcentral is "bacterial SSU rRNA". It matches the Rfam family "Bacterial small subunit ribosomal RNA", at positions 355 to 775 of the family's 1533-position model. The record is from RNAcentral.